GUAAAGUCCAGUUCUUUUGUAUAUGUCCAAAAUGUAAGUGUGUGAGUGACGUGUGUGUGUGGGGGGAAUGCUAUGUGGGUGUAUGUGAAAAAAAAGAGUCCAGUUCAAGUUUGUUGGUAUGUGGUGUGGAGUGUUGUAGGUGUAUGGGGGGAGGGAGGUGGAAGGGAACAGGGAGUCCAGACAGGGACCAAGAGGACGGGGAAAGCCGGGAAACAAUUAACGUCAACUUAUCUGAGCUGGUUUAACAGUCAAGGUUUUACUCCAGAAUGAGGAGGCUCCGAGUGCCUGACCAUUGACCCUUGAGACGGUCGGUUCCACACACUCCGGGGGGGUUUCUCCGUUGCUGGUGUCCUUUCAGUUUUAUUUCUCCAGUCAGCUCACAAACUUUUCUUUGUCUCACUUUCCUGUCACCUCUCUCCUGGCCCUGCACUGUCUGUCUGCCCUCUCCUUCUCUCAGCACUCAGGUGCAUUCACUUACUCUGAUGAGUGGCAAGCCCCUCCCCUUACCUCUGAGGAGGGAGGGCCUGCCUCACUCUCCUUCUUGCCACACUCUCCCCCCUUGAUGAGACCGUGUAUACUGGAAACUCAGUCUUCAAACUAAAACCCUAAAAAUCUUCUUCUCCUGAGCUUUCCUGUAGCAGGUCCAUUAUUCUUUUCCUUUCCAUGACCUCCAAGUCCUCCGCACUGGGGUAGAAAGGUUUCAGGUUGCAGACAUGCACAGUCCUUGCAUCCAAACCUGUGUCCUCCAGAACAACUUGGUAAUUCAGAGGGCCCAGCUGUUGAACUACACGGUAGGGACCUCUCCACUUUUUGGCUAAUUUAGCUGUGAAUUUGUCCUUAGCCUUAGACAGAGGGAAAUUCCUAACCCACACUCUCUGUUUGGGUUUGAAAUCAACGUGGCGGCGAUUUUUAUUGUAGUUCCUCAGUUGCCUCUUCUUUGCUUUUUUUAUGUUUUCCUCCACGUCUGUUUUCAGUUGUGUGAGAUGAUGCACAACGUCAUAUGCAGGCUCAUCAGGGGAUAAAAUCCUGCCUUUCAGAACUUUAUCCAUCGGACUAUUCAGCUUCCUGCCAAUCUGCAGUUCAGCAGGCGUUACACCUGUAGUUUCCUGAACAGCGGAGUUUAUGGCAAAUCUGAAUUCCGGAAGGUAUUGAUCCCAUUUACCAUGAUUGUCAUCCAAGCAAGAGGCUAUCAUACUUUUUAGAGUACGAUUCACUCUUUCCGUCAUAUUGGUCUGUGGAUGAUAUGCUGUGGUGAGCUUGGGAAUCACAGUCCACUGGUUACAGAGUUCACGAAAUAUAGAAGACACAAAUUGAGGUCCUCUGUCAGACAAGAUGUAGUCAGGUAUUCCCCAUCUUGUGAAAAUAUCUUUCCUCAGGUAGCGGGCCAUGGUCGUGGCUGUAGCCGUUCGCAGGGGGGUGAAUUCCACCCAACGAGUGAAAUAAUCCACGAUCACAAGCAAAUAUUCAUUCCUUUCUGAACUUCUAGGUAACGGACCCAUGAGGUCAAUCCCAAGCAUUUCAUUCGGGCCAUUGACAGUGGUUUGUUGCAACUUUCCAGCAGGUUUUUGGUUAUCUGCUUUCAGACUUUGACAAACAACACAUUGCUUGAUAAAGAGUUUCACAUCAGUCCACAUUCCAGGCCAAUGUGCCACUUCAUAUAACCUUUUAUAGGUUUUGAAGAUUCCAGCAUGUCCACUCAAGGGAUUUUCAUGAUAGUUCAGGAGCAUUUGUUGAACCAGACUACGGGGAAUGCAAAGCCGAUAAUGGAACUGGUUUUCAGAUUUUUGUGUUUUAUGAUACAACUUAUCCUCCCGGAUCACAAAAUCCUGCUCCACUUUGAUAUCUCCUUCAGCAAGCUGUUUCAUAACUUGCUCUAAGUUAGUGUCCUUGUGUUGUUCUUCACAAAUGGUUUUAAGGGAUAUCGGAGUAAUCUCAUCACCAUUUGGAGAGUACAGACAAAGACCAACCUUAGAUGGAAUUCUUGAGAGGGCAUCAGGAGCAUCGUUCAACUUUCCUUUUCUGUACUCCACAAUAAAGUCAAAACGUUGCAACCUCAGUGACCAUCUAAUCAAGCGACUUGUGGUUUUUGUUGAUGAAAGGACCCACUUCAAGGCAGAGUGAUCGGUAAUGACAGUGAAUAGCUUCAGUUCAAGAUAAUGCUGCCAUUUUUCCAGAGCCCAGAUGACGGCAAGGCACUCUUUCUCUGUAACUGAGUAAUUCCUUUCCGCUUGAUUCAGGGUUCGACUUGCAUAAGCAAUAACUUCCUCAGUUCCAUCGUCGUUUUUCUGAGUAAGCACAGCUCCAAGACCAAUAUCACUUGCGUCAGUAUAGACUAAGAAUGGAUGGUCUGGAUUAGGAUGACCCAGGACAGGUGGAGAAAUCAAGCUUGACUUGAGUUUGUCAAAGGAAUACUGACAUGCUGAACUCCAGAUGAAAGGUUUUCCUUUCUUCUUUAGGUCAUUCAAAGGCUGAGCAACUUUCGAGAAGUCUGGCACAAAUUUAUGAUACCAGCCUGCCAGCCCCAAGAAUCUCUGGACUUCCUUGAGAUUUGUCGGCACCGGAUAGGACCGAAUUGCCUCGACCUUGUCAGGAUCAGCGCUGACACCUUUACCAGAGACAAUGUGUCCAAGAAAUCUGAUUUCUUUCAGACAGAACCUAGAUUUCUUAAGAUUAACAGUCAGAUUCGCUUUGCAGAGACGAUCGAUUACAGUAUGUAACCGCUCAAGAUGUUGAGUCACAGAUGAUGAGUACACAAUGAUAUCGUCUAGAUAGACUAGACAGAUAUUUCCUCUGAGCCCUUCCAAGACUUUCUCCAUUAGUCUUUGGAAAGUGGCGGGAGCAUUUUUGAGUCCAAAGGGCAUCACAUUGAAGUGAUACAGUCCACGAUGUGUAAUGAAUGCAGUUUUUGCUUCGCUUUCAGGAUCCAUGGGUACUUGCCAGUAUCCACUGUUCAAAUCAAUCGUAGAGAAGAUUGUGGCUCCAGAAAGUGACUCAAGGAUUUCAUUGAUGUUUGGGAGAGGAUAGGCAUCAGUUUCAGUGACAGCAUUGACUUUUCGGAAAUCAACACAGAAUCUAUGACCGCCAUCUUUUUUUGGAGGUAAGACAACAGGAGAUGCCCAUCCUGAGUGAGAGGGUUCAAUGACUCCAGUAGCCAGCAUCUCACCUAAUUGUUCUUCCACGAUAACUUGCUUGACAGGUGAGAGUCUAUAAGGUCUUUGUUUGAUAGGCACACAGGCAGUGGUAUAGAUGGUGUGCUGCAAAACAUCCGUCUUACCAGGCUGGUUAGUACAAACUUGUGGGCUAGACUCAAGGAGAUUUCUUAACAGUUUCUUGUCACUGUCCUCCAAAUGAGCAUCCUUCACAGCAACAUCGAUGUAAUCUUUCACAUCCAUUCGAGCAGGCUCCAGAGAGAGAAUGGGAGGUGGAACAGAACUUAUCAGUGAAAGAUUCAGGGCUGAUCUGUUGGGGGUCAUUUGAGUGACUUUUUUGUCACGGUCUCUUGUCUGUGUGUAGUGGGCACUGCCAGGCUGGAAUGGGUAAGCAACAGAGGGCAUUGACUUAAAGCUAUACUCCUUAUCAGCCACAUUGAUGAUCAUUCCAACACUGGAAAUGAGGUUCAGGCCAAGAACAACACUAUACGCCAGAGCGUUUGGUCCCAAUACCGCUACAGGUAAAGUGGAGGCAUGUCCAUGGAGAGCCAUGGUGAGGUCUCCCGAUCCAAUGGAAGUAGCCGGUUCACCAUUAGCCAGAUACAGUGGACCUUCUGUCCAAGGUCGAAGGAUGUCUCUGGUACCCUUCAGUUCCCGCCAAAGAUACUCAUGAAUGAGAGUGUAACUGGCCCCAGUGUCAACUAUAGCUUUUCCAUGCCAUGAAUUUAUGGAGAGAGGCACAAUAAGUUGUAGGGGACUAGAGGAAGAAUCGGGUGGAGGGCCAGAACUCUCUGAGGUGGAUCCAUUCCUCUGUGGUUGCCGAGUUGGCUGCUUUCCAGAUUUUCUUGAUUUUACAAGGGAGACAGAGCCUUUUCCAGGCAGAGCUUUUGUCUUUGGUGGGCGUGACAAGUGUUUAGGUAUCCUGGGAGAAUGACUGAAAGGUUCUGGUGUGCUGUAAUGUGGACAAGAGCCAGGAAGGUGGUUACCUUUACAUCUCCAGCAUAAGACAGGUGGUUACCUUUACAUCUCCAGCAUAAGACAGGUGGUCUGUUCUUUUCAACAGGUGGACCUGAGUGCAUGGUUUUAGAAAGAGGAUUAAUGUUUUUAGCACACAUUCUUGAAUUGUACUCAAGCUGCUGUUCAUGAUCUUUUUCAAGUUGAUGACCAAGGCGCACCAGAUCUUCCACAGUGUCAACACGACCCCGGAGUUGACUAGCAAGAAAAGGUUUGAUGUUUUUCAGAAUCAUCUUAACAAUAUUAGCUUCUGUGAGAGAGGGUUUCCAUCUUUUACAAAGAGCUCUAUAUGAGAAAGCAAAGUCUCUGAUAGUUUCAUUUUCAUGCUGUUUCUUGGUUCGAACACGCUCUGCUAAUUCAUCCUCAUAAUCUUCUGCAAGGAAAGCUGCAAGGAAAACUGUCUCAAAUUGAUUCCAAGUAACAACCUUAGAUCGGGCAAUUUCCCACCAGUCGCGGGCUGUUCCCCGGAGAACAGUUCUGAAAGUGGCAAGAAUAUCAGCAUCUGACAAAGGAUGAAGAGCAAGAAAGUCAUGACACUUUGACAGAUAACUGAGGGGAUCAGGAUCAUCAUGUAUCCCACCAUAUGUAGGAAAGGUUAACUUAAUGUGAUCACUCUUUGUAACCGCUAAAUUAGGGGCUGCAAGUGAGGUUGGAGUUUUCUCCCCUGAACAAGGACUGGAACAUGGAUAAGCAGAGGUAGAUUUACCUUCUACCAAAAAAGAUUCGAGUCGUCUGUCCAGUAAGAUGAUUUUCUGUUCAAGGUCUUGCAUUUGUUCUUUCCUCUCCGUUUCUUCUUUUCCAAGUUGGAUGGUCAGUUUUGUGAUUGCAGAGCUACUUUCGUUAACUGUGUCCACCAAUUGACAGAUACUUUCCUGAGCAGUAGUGUGAAAGCAUUUCAUUUCCUUCUGAAGUUCCACUUGAAGUUGUUCGACCAUGAAGCGAAUUUCUGAAAGAAGAGAUGUCUCAGAGUUUUUCAGCUCUUCGUCCACAACCAUUUUAAUUCCUUUCACAAGUUUAUCCAUUUCCGUUUCCACACUUUCCUUAUGAGAAAUGAUAUGUGACAGAAGCAGCCGAUGAUUGUCACGGGCUUUAUUCAUUAGAUCUUUAAAGUGUUUAGUAGAAGAUGUUUGAAUUCCUUCAACACACGCUGUCAGGUGUUACAUUGCAACACUUUGUGUUUCCAUUUCUUUAUGGAUCCUAUCCCAACCUUCCUGGGUUUUUUCUGCAAUUUGGUUUAAGUUCCGUGCAGGAGUGGGGAGGGUUUUUGGGAGUUCGCACUGAGACUGAGACAGUGAAUAUGGGGACGAGGCUGAAAACGCGAAAUGGCCUCCUCCUGGGUCAGGCAAAGAAGGUACCGCUUCUGUUUCCCAAGUAAGUGACUGGUUUAGUGACUGGGCAGGUUCAAAGUGGGAGGGAAAUUGGGCAAGGUCAUGAGUUUCAGAUGCCUUUACUGAAGGGGGCAGUGGUGUCUGAAAAUAUGUUUGCAAGUGUGCACUAAAUGCUGUGUCUGUGCCAUAAACACGUACAGGUGUCUGCACAUCAGGAGCUUCUAUAUCAAGGUCACCAAGAGACUUCUGAUUAGACAUUUUGUGUUAAGCAGAGAAUGAAUUACUUUUUCAAGAAAUGACCACAUUCAAGUAUAAUUUGUCACCACAUUCAAAAUCAUGCCACAAAAACAGUUACUCAAUCAAGAUUCAAUAUUCAAAGCGAUCAGGUGUAAUUCAACCCCAAUUAAUGGUAAUAGAAUAAAUGAAAUAAUGAAAUAAUCGCAUGGUUAGAACCGAAACAAUUAACUCAGCACAUUUCGUGGUUUAGGGCCCCACGUUGGGCGCCAUUUCUGUAGCGUAGGGGUUCAAAAAGAGGGCUCAGGUUAGGUUUGGAGUUGGGCGCCAGACAGGGGAACUAAUCAUCCUAUCAUGAAUUUAUAAAAAAUCAAAAUACCCUGAGACUUAAUCUACAGAAAUAUUCUAAAGAAAAUACGACUAGCUCGAUCGAUACCCCUGCUACAAAAUUUCAACAAAAGAUUCGGGAGUAAAGAAAAAAUACUUUUUAUCAAAGUUAAAUGUUCAAUAAAGCAAAACAGGGACAAACUAAUCAAAAUAGCACAAAACCGCAUUCAACAAAAACCAAAUACAACUUUAAAUAAUAGUCCCAAGAUCCUUAAAAAAUAGCAAAAAUGAGAAAAUAAAUGAGUGUGUGUGUGUGAAGUCCAGUUCUUUUGUAUAUGUCCAAAAUGUAAGUGUGUGAGUGACGUGUGUGUGUGGGGGGAAUGCUAUGUGGGUGUAUGUGGAAAAAAAAGAGUCCAGUUCAAGUUUGUUGGUAUGUGGUGUGGAGUGUUGUAGGUGUAUGGGGGGAGGGAGGUGGAAGGGAACAGGGAAUCCAGACAGGGACCAAGAGGACGGGGAAAGCCGGGAAACAAUUAACGUCAACUUAUCUGAG
This 6602-nucleotide long non-coding RNA is filed under the name Xyrichtys novacula (pearly razorfish). Lineage: Eukaryota; Metazoa; Chordata; Actinopteri; Labriformes; Labridae. The record is from RNAcentral.